UUUUGCCAAGGCACAGAUAGCCUAAAAAGCAACAUUUAUACUGAGAAACGCGGGCUCCGGUGCCCAAAUCGCCUUUCCUCACGCCCACCGCAGGCAGCCACGGCUCGUGCGCGGCGGCCCCUCUCCCCGGGCCCAGGCCAGCAGCAGGUGCCCCAGGUGAGCGGCCAACGCCGAGACCUCGGUGUGCCGGGCUUUGCUUCCCAGGGCAGGGAUGCUAACCCGGCGCCCGGACCCGACACGGGGCGAACAAGUACAUUCCCUGAGGGAGUAAAAGUUUCCAGGACGAGGGUUCGUCCCCUCCUGAAGUUGGCGGGGUCAGGGCGGGCUCUCUGGACACCUGUGGCUAACACUGACAGCGCGAGCAGCACCCCUAAGCGACCCUCUCCCACACUCUCCGCCUCCAGGGCCAGCGGCGAGCCUGGAGGUGAGACCGCCUUUGCCCCCGCGGGACUACUUUUCUGCUCCCCCCAAACGAGGCCGAGGCGGAGGCGUCCGCGCGGGGGCGGCGCAAGCGAAGGGCGGGCGCGGGCGGCCGGCGCUGCGCGAUGCGGCCCGGCGGAGGGAUUCCCGGGUGAGGCGGCUUCCCGAAGUCAGAGGGGAGGAGGCCAAAAAAGUCGGCGGGGGAGGGGAAGCACGAGCUCGCGCUGGACGCGACCGGGAAGACAGAACCGGAACCGGAACCCGCGCGCGCGCCCGCGGUCGUCGGUCGCUCCCCCCACCUCCGCCCCACCGCCGGCGGCCGCCUCCGCCUUCUGCGCGCGCUCCCGCGAGGGCCCCCAGCACCCGGCGAGCCGGUUCCGCGCGGGGAGUCGCCGCCGCCGCCGCCGCCCGUCGCCUCCCGUGCCGAGGCUUCCACCAGGCCGGGCCGGACGGGAGCCUCCCGCCCCCCCCGCGGGAACCGCCGCCUACCGGAGCGUCGGGGAGGAGCCGCCGCCGCCGCCCGUGCUGACUGCGGAAGAGUCCGGGCCUCAAAGGGAUGGGGAGCAGCCCGCGGCCCUGAGAGACCCCGGUCCCUGUCACUUCAGGUCGCGGGACUCCUUUUCCGCCGGCGCCCGCGGCUCGUCCCGGUGCCCCGGAGCCUGGUGGGGGCGGCGAGGAAGACGCGAGGGGUCCCCGGGCCGGGGGACAUGGGGCCGCGCGAGCUCGGCGCGGGACGGCCCGAGACGCGGCCGAGGCUGCGGCCACGCGCGACCGGCAGCCCCAGUUAGAGAGCGGGGACGCGAGGGCUCGGCCGUGCGGGUGCGGACGGAGUUGACGGCCCCGAGACUCCGGAGGAGGAGCCGAUCCCGCCCCGGCCCCGGCCGCGGCCCCGGCGGGAGUCCGGGUCCCCUUCCCACGGCGCGCGGACUUCCCUGGGCCACGGAGUUCUCUCGCUGUGCCUCCUGCAGGAUUUGUCGCAGGCGCCGGGACUCGCCUGCCGGCUGA
RNAcentral lists this long non-coding RNA (1425 nucleotides) under Oryctolagus cuniculus (rabbit). RNAcentral's name for it is "lncRNA (ENSOCUG00000036789.1)". Lineage: Eukaryota; Metazoa; Chordata; Mammalia; Lagomorpha; Leporidae. The record is from RNAcentral.